Gymnogyps californianus (California condor) is the source of this 263-nucleotide long non-coding RNA. RefSeq lists it as uncharacterized. The transcript has 4 exons. NCBI's taxonomy places the organism in Eukaryota, Metazoa, Chordata, Aves, Accipitriformes, Cathartidae. The record is from RefSeq and is a predicted model, not a curated record.
ACGGGAGGCUGCUUUUGGCUUGGUGUGAGAGUGCAGCCAAUGUGGGUGCCUUGGAGGGAGGGCAGCAGAUGUGGACUGAGAACCAAGUCAUUUUUUUCCAGAGCAAGGGAGACUUGCCACAGAGUACCUGCAAAACUGAGAGUGAAGUUCAGGUGACUCCCAAUUUGGACAACUGGAGGAUGAGGACCCCAGGACAUGCUGCAGAGAGCCUGCAUGACUUUCCCUUAGAUCUUCCAUCCCAUGAUGGUGAGGCACCUUGUCGC